UACGGGGGGGGCAAGCGUUGUUCGGAAUUACUGGGCGUAAAGAGCGCGCAGGCGGUCGGAUAAGUCGAAUGUGAAAGCCCCCGGCUCAACUGGGGAGGGUCACGCGAUACUGAUCGACUCGAAGGCAGGAGAGGGAAGUGGAAUUCCCGGUGUAGUGGUGAAAUGCGUAGAUAUCGGGAGGAACACCAGUGGCGAAGGCGACUUCCUGGCCUGUUCUUGACGCUGAGGCGCGAAAGCUAGGGGAGCAAACGGG
Molecule: ribosomal RNA, 253 nt
Filed under: uncultured bacterium
Lineage: Bacteria
Description: partial 16S ribosomal RNA
Rfam family: Bacterial small subunit ribosomal RNA
Source: RNAcentral